CGGCGAGUGAAGCGGCAACAGCUCAAAUUUGAAAGCUGGCUCUUUUAGGGCCCGCAUUGUAAUUUGUAGAGGAUGCUUCAGGUGCGGCGCUGGUCUAAGUUCUUUGGAACAAGACGUCAUAGAGGGUGAGAAUCCCGUAUGUGACUAGCUGCCUGUGCCUGUGUGAAGCUCCUUCGACGAGUCGAGUUGUUUGGGAAUGCAGCUCAAAAUGGGUGGUGUACUUCAUCUAAAGCUAAAUAUUGGCCAGAGACCGAUAGCGCACAAGUAGAGUGAUCGAAAGAUGAAAAGCACUUUGGAAAGAGAGUUAAACAGUACGUGAAAUUGUUGAAAGGGAAGCGCUUGCAAUCAGACUUGCGCGGCGUCGAUCAACCUGGGUUCUCCCUGGUGCACUCGGCGCUGCUCAGGCCAGCAUCAGUUUCAGCGGUUGGAUAAAGGCCUAGGGAACGUGGGUUACUUCGGUGACUGUUAUAGCCCUAGGUGCAAUGCAGCCUGCUGGGACUGAGGACCGCGCUUCGGCUAGGAUGCUGGCGUAAUGGUUGUAAGCGACCCGUCUUGAAACACGGACCAAGGAGUGUAAUAUUUAUGCGAGUUUUUGGGUGUUAAACCCAUAAGCGUAAUGAAAGUGAACGGAGGUGAGAACCCUUCAGGGUGCAUCAUCGACCGAUCCUGAAGUCUUCGGAUGGAUUUGAGUAAGAGCAUAACUAUUGCGACCCGAAAGAUGAUGAUCUAUACUUGAAUAGGGUGAAGCCAGAGGAAACUCUGGUGGAGGCUCGCAGCGGUUCUGACGUGCAAAUCGAUCGUCAAAUUUGAGUAUAGGGGCGAAAGACUAAUCGAA
RNAcentral lists this ribosomal RNA (835 nucleotides) under Spathularia sp. L. P. Tang 636. RNAcentral describes it as "eukaryotic LSU rRNA". It matches the Rfam family "Eukaryotic large subunit ribosomal RNA", at positions 87 to 939 of the family's 3401-position model. The record is from RNAcentral. Lineage: Eukaryota; Fungi; Ascomycota; Leotiomycetes; Rhytismatales; Cudoniaceae.